GCCUGGGUGGCUCAAUUGGUUAAGCGUCCGACUUCAGCUCAGGUUGUGAUCUCACGGUUCGUGAGUUCAAGCCUCACAUCAGGCC
Molecule: transfer RNA, 85 nt
Filed under: Felis catus (domestic cat)
Lineage: Eukaryota; Metazoa; Chordata; Mammalia; Carnivora; Felidae
Rfam family: tRNA
About the family: Transfer RNA (tRNA) molecules are approximately 80 nucleotides in length. Their secondary structure includes four short double-helical elements and three loops (D, anti-codon, and T loops). Further hydrogen bonds mediate the characteristic L-shaped molecular structure. tRNAs have two regions of fundamental functional importance: the anti-codon, which is responsible for specific mRNA codon recognition, and the 3' end, to which the tRNAs corresponding amino acid is attached (by aminoacyl-tRNA synthetases). tRNAs cope with the degeneracy of the genetic code in two manners: having more than one tRNA (with a specific anti-codon) for a particular amino acid; and 'wobble' base-pairing, i.e. permitting non-standard base-pairing at the 3rd anti-codon position.
Source: Rfam by way of RNAcentral